CUAAACUGUCUGAAUUGGGCACCUGCAUGCUUUCUGUGUGGGCGCGUGCUCUGUGAUGUGUGCUUACGUUAACACAGAGUGUGACGUUGGGCUGUGGAGACUGUGCAUGUGCGAUGUGCCGCUUGCUCUCAGUGCGGUGUGCCGUCAGGGCUCUCAUCUGUGUAGCAUGGCAGUUUAACGUAGCCCCGGUCGGAGCGCCAGCUGCUGCUGUCACAACUAUUAAAGAAGCUAUCAUAUGAUUUUCGUAUGUGCAGUCGAGCUGAGUGCUUCCAGAGGCUGGGGGAGGUCCUUUGAGGCACCUUGGGCUUUACUUAAUUAAGGGUCGUUAUUAUUGCUGUGUUUUAUUUGCAGUGAAUUUUGUGGGUAUGAUUCUGAUUAGUGGGGUGCUUUUCCCUUUUGUACAGCUGGUGCUGUCGUGCUAGCCUGCCCUUCAUACAGGAAGCCUCAGUCCUCCUAUGAUUAUUGUUCAUUUUCUCUUGUGACUGCUUUAUUUGACCAACACCUGACUGUGUUGGCUGCUUUUUAAAAAAAU
Long non-coding RNA from Ictalurus punctatus (channel catfish), 532 nucleotides. NCBI's taxonomy places the organism in Eukaryota, Metazoa, Chordata, Actinopteri, Siluriformes, Ictaluridae. The record is from Ensembl.